Molecule: long non-coding RNA, 308 nt
Organism: Grammomys surdaster
Lineage: Eukaryota; Metazoa; Chordata; Mammalia; Rodentia; Muridae
Exons: 3
Source: RefSeq, a predicted model, not a curated record
UUCAGACCCUUUGCGGAAGUCUGCAAUGACCCCAAGGUACCAGAAGAGGAUGACUCUAACAAGCUGGGGAAGAAGGUGAUCCUCCGAGAGCAGGUGAAGGAGCUCUUCAAUGAGAAAUACGGUGAGGCCCUGGGACUGAAUCGGCCUGUGCUAGUUCCUUACAAACUGAUCCGGGACAGCCCAGAUGCUGUGGAGGUGAAGGGCCUCCCAGAUGACAUCCCCUUCCGGAACCCCAACACCUAUGACAUCCAUCGGCUGGAGAAGAUCCUGAAGGCCAGGGAGCAUGUACGGAUGGUCAUCAUCAACCA